CAGUAGCCACGGGAAUACGGAGGGGGCUAGCGUUGUUCGGAAUUACUGGGCGUAAAGCGUGCGUAGGCGGCUUCUUAAGUCGGAUGUGAAAUCCCUGAGCUUAACUUAGGAAUUGCAUUCGAUACUGGGAAGCUAGAGUAUGGGAGAGGAUGGUAGAAUUCCAGGUGUAGCGGUGAAAUGCGUAGAGAUCUGGAGGAAUACCGAUGGCGAAGGCAGCCAUCUGGCCUAAUACUGACGCUGAGGUACGAAAGCAUGGGGAGCAAACAGGAUUAGAUACCCCUGUAGUCCCUGUCUCUUAUAC
This 301-nucleotide ribosomal RNA is filed under the name uncultured bacterium. RNAcentral describes it as "partial 16S ribosomal RNA". It matches the Rfam family "Bacterial small subunit ribosomal RNA", at positions 509 to 807 of the family's 1533-position model. The record is from RNAcentral.